Hippopotamus amphibius kiboko is the source of this 3274-nucleotide RNA transcript. It is a transcript of the gene named N-terminal EF-hand calcium binding protein 3, with no coding region annotated. The record is from RefSeq and is a predicted model, not a curated record. Lineage: Eukaryota; Metazoa; Chordata; Mammalia; Artiodactyla; Hippopotamidae. The transcript has 10 exons.
CUGGCUGCUGUGUAGAGGAUGGAUUGAGGAAGGGACCAGAAGGGCAGAGCAAGGGGGAAGAGAAGGCCGAGCUGAGCUUGAGAGUGGAAGGGAGCCUGACUGGGAGACGGUGCACACGGACCUCUGUAUCUUUCCCUGAGCCAGUCCCUGUUUUAAGCCCUUCACUGUCAGUCGCCGCAGCAGUCGUAUGAGGUGUCUACCCUCACCCCCGUUUUGCAGAAGAUACACUCAGAGGGGAAGUCAUUUGCGGGUUUUGCCCGCCAGGUGGCGCGCUUGUGCCCCGCGGUUCGCUCCGUUGACCCUGUAACGGGGCGGGACCUGCCCUCGGUGGGCGCGCGCCGCCCCUCCCGCUCUGUUCCCGGCUGUGUAGUACUCCACGCCGGCCGUCGUUCGCUCGGCCGGUCCCCGGUGGAACUGACCCCUUGCGUGGCUCCUAACUCCCCAGCGGCCGCCCCUCCGGGAGGUGGGGAGUCACGGAGGUGGACGGCGUUGCAGUUCUGCAUUGCGCGGCUCCGGCGGCCCUAGAGCCUGGAGGUCGCGCCCCUCUUCCAGACGCGGAAGCUGAGGGCCGGCGCCGGGGCCCGGCUGGGAGGGGGCCUCGGCGGCCCGCCGGGCGGGGGCGGGGCCGCGGGGGGCGGGGCCCUCAGCCUCCGCGCCGGCGCCGAUGGGCGGGCGCCCCCCCCCCGCCCGUCCCCCCAAGUCCGCGACGGCGGCGGCGGCGUCCAGAGCCCGGAGCCCGGAGCCGCGCCCGAGUCGGAGCCGAGCGGGUGGCGGCGCCAUGGCGUGCGCGGGGCUGCUGACCGUGUGCCUGAUCCGGCCGCCCGCGCCCGAGCCCCCGCGACCCCCCGCGCCCGCCGCCGGGCCCGCAGGACACGCGCUCUUCCAGGACAUGAUGGUAAGCUCUCAUUUGAAGAAUUCCAGAAUUACUUUGCCGAUGGGGUUCUCAGCCCCAGGGAGCUGCGAGAGCUGUUCAGCGGCAUUGAUGGGCAUCCCGCUGACAAUUUGGAAACAGAGAAGCUGUGUGGUGAGUAGGCCCAUGGGAGCUCUUGUCUUCCGGGACCUCUGGGCAGACUACUUCUCCGAACACCUGGGCGUCUACCGGCCUGUGCUGGCUGCACUGGAGUCGCUGAACUGUGCAGUGCUCGCUGCCAUGGACACCACUAAGCUGGAGUAUGAGCGGGCCUCCAAGGUGGACCAGUUUGUGACACGCUUCCUAUUGCGGGAGACGGUGAGCCAGCUCCAAGCCCUGCAGAGCUCGCUGGAGGGGGCGUCAGAUACCCUGGAGGCCCAGGCCCAUGGCCCAUGGUCAGAUGAAGAGAGGGUGGAGGUGCAGAGCAGGCCCCGCGGCAGCCGGCGGGCAGGGCGCCGGGCCCUGCGGAGCGUCGGUCGGUCACCUACCUGGUCUCCUGGCUUCUCUGACACAGGGCGGAGCUCAGAGGCCGAGAUGCAGUGGCGGCUCCAGAUCAACCGUCUCCAGGAGCUCAUCGACCAGCUCGAGUGCAAGGUGAGUAGUCGUGUGGCCAGUGCCCUGUGCCGGUGGACUUUUCUGGAAUCCACCCAAGCCAGGCACAUGCCGGGGACCUGGCCCAUGCUCUGCGUCCAUCACAGGCCCCCCGGCUGGAACCCCUGCAUGAAGAGGAGUUUACCAAGGGUCCCAACUCGCACAUCCUUGUGGCCCAAAGGCAGGUGCAGGUGGCAGAGGAAGCCCUGCAGGACUUCCACCAUGCCCUGUGCUGCUACGUGGACUUCACAGGGGCCCAGAGCCAUUGCCUGCAUGUGUCUGCCCAGAAGAUGCUGGACAAUGCCUCCUUCACCCUGUAUGAGUUCUGGCAGGAUGAGGCCUCCUGGAGAAGGUAUGAGCUGUGGUCUAACAGCUAAUGUUUAUUGUGUAUGGGCCCUGGUGUGAGUCUGGAGGUUCAAGCCUGGGUUCAAAUCAUCCUCUCCUAUUUACUGGCUGUGUGACCUCAGGAGAGUUACCUAACCCUUCUGAGCCCCAGUGGCCUCCUUUUCGAAAUGAGAGUGAUAAUAAUUCCAUCCUCUUAUCACCUAAAUGAGACGACAUGUAAAGAACUGAACACAGUGCCAGGUACAAGGUAGGUGCUUGUUGAAUACUUACUGUUACCACUGUGCCACACCCUGUGCCACGUGCCUUGUGUGUCACUUCAUGUAAUUCUCACAGUAUCCCAGUGAAGUGGAUACUAUUGUCCCCAUUUCACAGAGGAAGAAACUGAGGCUCAGAGCCACUAUAAGGAAGGACUGAGAUCUGAAACCAGGCAGCAGGACUCGGUGGGAGUGGGGAGCUUUUAACCAUGUGGUCCUGAUCUUUGGGGACCAGCUGCAGCCUCAGUCCACUGUGCGGCCCUCCCCAGGCACCAGCAGUCUGCCUGCAGUAAGGCCUUCCAGCGCAUCCUCAUCGACCACCUGCGGGCUCCAGACACCCUCACCACCGUGUUCUUCCCAGCCUCCUGGUGGAUUAUGAAUAAUAACUGAGCCUGACCUGCAUAAGCCAAGGAGCCCUGCCUGCCUCCUUCUGGAGCUUCUGGACUGGUCAACUCAGCUCAUGACCAAGGAUGCUGCCACAUCUAUACCUGGGGCCUGGCUCUCAGAGGCCCCCCGAGCCAACUGGCAGAGAAUCGCUUAGCCCAGGGAUCGGAGACUGGGCUGCUUGCUUUCUGUUUCUUUCUUUAACAGUGUAUUUUAUUGCUUAUAGCUUCGGCCUCUGAGGCACUCUGGCAUCUGUCUGGCUCAGGAGGCCUGGAUUCUGGUCCCCUGUGCCCUUGCCUUGCUGUGUGACCCAGGGCAGGUCCCUUCUCUCUCUGAGUGGGCCAUGGCUGUCUGGCUAUUGGGUACCUGCGUUCUUCUUGCUGUCUUGGGGCCAGGCUUCUGCUCUUCCCCAAGCCAGCAGCAGAACCAGGGCUGAUGCUCAGGGACUGUCCCCACCUCCCCACCUCGACCCCUGAGGCUGGAUCAGUCUGUAGUGUGGGCAAAGGUCCUGGGCGUCCCCAUCACCCUCCUGGGCCGGCAGGCUCCUGACUCUUCCAGCACCUGCGGCUGCACUAGGAGCCCUCUGGAGGAUCCUGGGUUGGUUUGCAUGUCAUUUGCAUAUCAUUUGCAUGCUCAUGCCUACCCAUACUCAGGGCACUAUGGGAAGCCCCAAGGUGAGCUUGCUAAGUAGCAAUAAUUUGGGCCCAGAGUCACUUACUGCCCCCAGAUACCUCUGAACCCCAGCCCAGGACCCCAGCCCAGAGGCAAUAAAGGCAGUGGUCACCUCUGG